CAUUCAAGUGGCAAAUGUCUUUGCAAAGACGACAAGCCUGUCGUCUACUGGCCAGCAUUGAACAGCUUCAUUCUGCCCUCCAUUCCCGACAUGGCAUCCACGUUCUUGCGCCAGUCUGUCACUUCCUCUUUCUGUAAGUCUUGAGGUUGGCCUUGAAGUCCACAGACUCUUUGACUUUGGAGCCCAGCAGCGCUCCCAACAUAGCGUCUGCAGACACCCUCACCCUCUUCAGCUCUUUACACAGUUCCUGCAAAGAAAGAAGAUGUUAGCAGCGGGUUGAGUCAAGAUGUGGACGUUGUCGUCUUGGUACCUGGAGUUGUUGGACUGACAGGUCUGAGGUCUUUGGCUGAGGGAAACAUUCAGCGAGGAAUCUUUCCUUCUCUGCUCUUUUCUCUUGGCUCUCAGACAAAAGCAUCGAGGUGGCCCUUCUCAGCAAGAUGGACUAUAAAGUAAGAAGGCAUCCUGGUGACGACUCUGCAGUCACGUGACGUUUUGGGGAAAAUGAUCCUCACAUGUUCUCAUAUCUGCAGGACUCACCUUCAAGUGCAGUCGGCGGGUGGCUGAAU
Molecule: long non-coding RNA, 566 nt
Organism: Hippocampus zosterae (dwarf seahorse)
Lineage: Eukaryota; Metazoa; Chordata; Actinopteri; Syngnathiformes; Syngnathidae
Exons: 3
Source: RefSeq, a predicted model, not a curated record